RNAcentral lists this ribosomal RNA (253 nucleotides) under uncultured bacterium. Its description in RNAcentral is "partial 16S ribosomal RNA". It matches the Rfam family "Bacterial small subunit ribosomal RNA", at positions 524 to 776 of the family's 1533-position model. The record is from RNAcentral.
UACGUAGGGUGCAAGCGUUGUCCGGAAUUAUUGGGCGUAAAGAGCUCGUAGGCGGUUCGUCGCGUCGGCUGUGAAAACCUGAGGCUCAACCUCAGGCCUGCAGUCGAUACGGGCGGACUUGAGUACUGCAGGGGAGACUGGAAUUCCUGGUGUAGCGAUGAAAUGCGCAGAUAUCAGGAGGAACACCGGUGGCGAAGGCGGGUCUCUGGGCAGUAACUGACGCUGAGGAGCGAAAGCGUGGGGAGCGAACAGG